RNAcentral lists this unclassified non-coding RNA (449 nucleotides) under Metcalfia mexicana. RNAcentral describes it as "partial external transcribed spacer". Lineage: Eukaryota; Viridiplantae; Streptophyta; Magnoliopsida; Poales; Poaceae. The record is from RNAcentral.
CAUGAGUUGUGUUGGACCCGUGUCUGCCGAUAGGACCCCCGCCGUUGUGCGGCCGACUGCCGGCGCCUGUGUCCCAUCAAUCUUGCGGUUGAUACCAUUCCGCUGUCCCGAAAAGUGCUUGCAUGACGUACCCGACCCACGGGAAGUGGUGCUUCAUACACGGUUGCCUCGCGGCGGACACCCUUGGGUUGUCCCGCUGCGGCCAAAUAGUGCUUGCGGCGUUGCCUCGUGGUGCUGGCACCCUUCGUGCCCGGUGUCGCCAUGGCCACCUCGCUUGCACUCUUGGUCUCGGAUGUUGCUCACGAUAAAGGCUUGUGGCCCAUUGGCGCCACGUCCCUAUUGAAAAGCUCUCUCUAUAGACGACAGCAGGCCUGAUUGUUGCCCCUGCCAUGCCACAUGCUGGCUGGCACGUGUGACCCUCGGUGCUGGCUCGUCGAGGAGGACGUGCU